This 77-nucleotide transfer RNA is filed under the name Lentisphaerae bacterium GWF2_45_14. RNAcentral describes it as "tRNA-His". It matches the Rfam family "tRNA". From Rfam's summary of the family: Transfer RNA (tRNA) molecules are approximately 80 nucleotides in length. Their secondary structure includes four short double-helical elements and three loops (D, anti-codon, and T loops). Lineage: Bacteria; Pseudomonadati; Lentisphaerota. The record is from RNAcentral.
GUGGUUGUAGCUCAGUUGGUUAGAGCGUCUGGUUGUGGCCCAGAAGGCCGGGGGUUCGAGUCCCCUCAUCCACCCCA